CUCUAUCACUCCUACGGGAGGCAGCAGUGGGGAAUAUUGCACAAUGGGGGAAACCCUGAUGCAGCCAUGCCGCGUGUGUGAAGAAGGCCUUCGGGUUGUAAAGCACUUUCAGUAGGGAGGAAGGUAGUGUAGUUAACACCUGCAUUAUUUGACGUUACCUACAGAAGAAGCACCGGCUAACUCCGUGCCAGCAGCCGCGGUAAUACGGAGGGUGCGAGCGUUAAUCGGAAUUACUGGGCGUAAAGCGCAUGCAGGCGGCCUGUUAAGUCAGAUGUGAAAGCCCGGGGCUUAACCUCGGAAUUGCAUUUGAAAACUGGCAGGCUAGAGUCUUGUAGAGGGGGGUAGAAUUUCAGGUGUAGCGGUGAAAUGCGUAGAGAUCUGAAGGAAUACCAGUGGCGAAGGCGGCCCCCCUGGACAAAGACUGACGCUCAGAUGCGAAAAGCGUGGGGAGCAAACAGGAUUAGAUACCCUGGUAG
This 476-nucleotide ribosomal RNA is filed under the name uncultured bacterium. RNAcentral's name for it is "bacterial SSU rRNA". It matches the Rfam family "Bacterial small subunit ribosomal RNA", at positions 328 to 793 of the family's 1533-position model. The record is from RNAcentral.